GAUGGACCCGCGUCGCAUUAGGCUAGUUGGUGAGGGUAACGGCUCACCAAGGCAACGAUGCGUAGCCGACCUGAGAGGGUGAUCGGCCACACUGGGACUGAGACACGGCCCAGACUCCUACGGGAGGCAGCAGUAGGGAAUCUUCCGCAAUGGACGAAAGUCUGACGGAGCAACGCCGCGUGAGUGAUGAAGGCUUUCGGGUCGUAAAACUCUGUUGUUAGGGAAGAACAAGUGCUAGUUGAAUAAGCUGGCACCUUGACGGUACCUAACCAGAAAGCCACGGCUAACUACGUGCCAGCAGCCGCGGUAAUACGUAGGUGGCAAGCGUUAUCCGGAAUUAUUGGGCGUAAAGCGCGCGCAGGUGGUUUCUUAAGUCUGAUGUGAAAGCCCACGGCUCAACCGUGGAGGAUCAUUGGAAACUGGGAGACUUGAGUGCAGAAGAGGAAAGUGGAAUUCCAUGUGUAGCGGUGAAAUGCGUAGAGAUAUGGAGGAACACCAGUGGCGAAGGCGACUUUCUGGUCUGAUAACUGACACUG
Molecule: ribosomal RNA, 536 nt
Filed under: Brucella abortus
Lineage: Bacteria; Pseudomonadati; Pseudomonadota; Alphaproteobacteria; Hyphomicrobiales; Brucellaceae
Description: bacterial SSU rRNA
Rfam family: Bacterial small subunit ribosomal RNA
Source: RNAcentral